AGUCGACGCGCAGCGAAAGGUGCUUGCACCUUUCAAGCGAGUGGCGAACGGGUGAGUAACACGUGGAUAACCUGCCUCAAGGCUGGGGAUAACAUUUGGAAACAGAUGCUAAUACCGAAUAAAACUUAGUAUCGCAUGAUACAAAGUUGAAAGGCGCUACGGCGUCACCUAGAGAUGGGUCCGCGGUGCAUUAGUUAGUUGGUGGGGUAAAGGCCUACCAAGACAAUGAUGCAUAGCCGAGUUGAGAGACUGAUCGGCCACAUUGGGACUGAGACACGGCCCAAACUCCUACGGGAGGCUGCAGUAGGGAAUCUUCCACAAUGGGCGAAAGCCUGAUGGAGCAACGCCGCGUGUGUGAUGAAGGCUUUAGGGUCGUAAAGCACUGUUGUAUGGGAAGAAAUGCUAGAAUAGGGAAUGAUUCUAGUUCGACGGUACCAUACCAGAAAGGGACGGCUAAAUACGUGCCAGCAGCCGCGGUAAUACGUAUGUCCCGAGCGUUAUCCGGAUUUAUUGGGCGUAAAGCGAGCGCAGACGGUUGAUUAAGUCUGAUGUGAAAGCCCGGAGCUCAACUCCGGAAUGGCAUUGGAAACUGGUUAACUUGAGUGUUGUAGAGGUAAGUGGAACUCCAUGUGUAGCGGUGGAAUGCGUAGAUAUAUGGAAGAACACCAGUGGCGAAGGCGGCUUACUGGACAACAACUGACGUUGAGGCUCGAAAGUGUGGGUAGCAAACAGGAUUAGAUACCCUGGUAGUCCACACCGUAAACGAUGAAUACUAGGUGUUAGGAGGUUUCCGCCUCUUA
Molecule: ribosomal RNA, 800 nt
Filed under: Leuconostoc lactis
Lineage: Bacteria; Bacillati; Bacillota; Bacilli; Lactobacillales; Lactobacillaceae
Description: bacterial SSU rRNA
Rfam family: Bacterial small subunit ribosomal RNA
Source: RNAcentral